RNAcentral lists this ribosomal RNA (467 nucleotides) under uncultured bacterium. RNAcentral's name for it is "partial 16S ribosomal RNA". It matches the Rfam family "Bacterial small subunit ribosomal RNA", at positions 28 to 507 of the family's 1533-position model. The record is from RNAcentral.
GAUGAACGCUGGCGGCGUGCUUAACACAUGCAAGUCGAACGGAAAGGCCCAAGCUUGCUUGGUUACUCGAGUGGCGAACGGGUGAGUAACACGUGGGUGAUCUGCCCUGCACUUCGGGAUAAGCCUGGGAAACUGGGUCUAAUACCGGAUAGGACCACAUUUUGGAUGGUGUGGUGGAAAGUUUUUCGGUGUGGGAUGAGCUCGCGGCCUAUCAGCUUGUUGGUGGGGUAAUGGCAUACCAAGGCGUCGACGGGGAGCCGGCCUGAGAGGGUGUACGGCCACAUUGGGACUGAGAGACGGCCCAGACUCGUACGGGAGGCAGCAGGGGGGAAUAUUGGACAAUGGGCGGAAGCCUGAUGCAGCGACGUCGCGUGGGGGAUGACGGCUUUCGGGUGGUAAACUCCUUUGGCUAGGGAAGAAGCGUUUUUGUGACGGUACCUGGAGAAGAAGCAACGGCUAACUACGUG